Small nucleolar RNA from Nycticebus coucang (slow loris), 134 nucleotides. RefSeq annotates it as small nucleolar RNA SNORA70. NCBI's taxonomy places the organism in Eukaryota, Metazoa, Chordata, Mammalia, Primates, Lorisidae. The transcript has a single exon. The record is from RefSeq and is a predicted model, not a curated record.
CUGCAGCUAAUUAAGCCAACCAUGUUCCUUUCCUCAUGGGGGCCUGGUGUGCAAUGGCUGCAAACGGCAGCCUCCUUGGUAGUGUAUGCAGCCUGUUGCUUUAUAGGUUCCUCUAAGGGACCUAGGAGACAUUC